RNAcentral lists this ribosomal RNA (638 nucleotides) under uncultured bacterium. RNAcentral describes it as "bacterial SSU rRNA". It matches the Rfam family "Bacterial small subunit ribosomal RNA", at positions 232 to 885 of the family's 1533-position model. The record is from RNAcentral.
CGCGGCCUAUCAGCUUGUUGGUGAGGUAAUGGCUCACCAAGGCAUUGACGGGUAGCUAGUCUGAGAGGACGAAUAGCCACACUGGGACUGAGACACGGCCCAGACUCCUACGGGAGGCAGCAGCAGGGAAUCUUGCACAAUGGACGAAAGUCUGAUGCAGCGACGCCGCGUGGGGGAUGAAGGCCCUAGGGUCGUAAACCCCUUUCAGUGGGGACGAAACUGACGGUACCCACAGAAGAAGGUCCGGCCAACUACGUGCCAGCAGCCGCGGUAAGACGUAGGGACCGAGCGUUGUCCGGAAUUAUUGGGCGUAAAGAGCUCGUAGGCGGUUGCGUAAGUCGGAUGUGAAAACUCGAGGCUCAACCUCGAGACGCCAUCCGAUACUGCGCUGACUUGAAUCCAGUAGGGGAGUGUGGAAUUCCUGGUGUAGCGGUGAAAUGCGCAGACAUCAGGAGGAACACCUAUGGCGAAGGCAGCACUCUGGGCUGGUAUUGACGCUGAGGAGCGAAAGCAUGGGUAGCAAACAGGAUUAGAUACCCUGGUAGUCCAUGCCGUAAACGGUGGGCACUAGGUGUGGGGACUUUCAACGGUUUCCGUGCCGAAGCUAACGCAUUAAGUGCCCCGCCUGGGGAGUACGG